This 741-nucleotide ribosomal RNA is filed under the name Triticum aestivum (bread wheat). RNAcentral's name for it is "partial small subunit ribosomal RNA". Lineage: Eukaryota; Viridiplantae; Streptophyta; Magnoliopsida; Poales; Poaceae. The record is from RNAcentral.
GGAAAAGGGACGCUCACGAUGCGCACACAAGUCGAGUACUUCAAGAAGGCGGCGGACAACAUGAUUUGCUACCCAAGCAAGGAGGAGCACCUGGCGCGGUCCCUCUUCCUCCUCAGCGGUGGCGGCAACGACUUCUCGGCCUUCGACCCCUCCACGGCCAGCCCCCAGGCCUAUGUCGUCAAGAUGGUCACCACCUACAUCGAGCACAUCCAGGCGCUCUACAACAUGGGAGCGCGAAUGGUGGGGAUCCUCGAUGUGCCGCCGAUCGGGUGCACGCCGGGGCAGAGGGUCGGCAUGCCCAACGGCGAGUGCAACGAGCAGGCCAACUCCCUGGCGCAAGCAUUCAAUGGCCUCCUAAGGGCUAAGCUCGCCGAGGCUUCCGCGACUACCAUGAAGGAGCUCAAGUACUCCAUCGCCGCCAACUACAACAUCCUCAACGACAUGAUGGACAACUCGCUCGUAGCCGGGCUGAGGCACGUGAAGACGGCGUGCUGCGGGUCCGGGAAGCUCAACGCGGAGGUAAUGUGCAGCCACCAGGGCACGACGGCGUGCCCCGCCGCGGAGCACGAUGACUACAUGUUCUGGGACAUGCUCCACCCCACUCACGCCACCAUCCAGCGCGGUGUCGUCGCCCUCUUCUACGGCAACGGCCCCAAGUACGGCGAGCCCGUCAACUUCGGCACGCUGGUCACGGGCCAGAACGUAUCUCCCGCGAUCAAGAUGGUGGUCGACAGCCAGUAA